AACUUUGGUAGCGAGUUUACUUUACUUUGAAUUCUUUGUUGUUUGGGAAUUCUUUAGAAAAUGGGUCACGGAGCAAGCCGUUACAAGAAGGCUAGAGCCAAGAUGCGAUGGAAGUGGAAGAAGAAGCGAACUCGUCGUCUCCAAAGAAAGAGACGUAAGAUGAGACAAAGAUCCCGAUGACUUCGAUGAGUCAUCUUUAUUUUUUUUUUAGUUUGACAAGAUGUGCUUUUCCAC
RNAcentral lists this small RNA (234 nucleotides) under Cryptosporidium parvum. Lineage: Eukaryota; Apicomplexa; Conoidasida; Eucoccidiorida; Cryptosporidiidae. The record is from RNAcentral.